GCAAGUCGAACGGAAACGAUGGGAGCUUGCUCCCAGGCGUCGAGUGGCGGACGGGUGAGUAACACAUAGGAAUCUGCCCAGUAGCGGGGGACAACUUGGGGAAACUCAAGCUAAUACCGCAUACGCCCUACGGGGGAAAGCGGGGGACCUUCGGGCCUCGCGCUAUCGGAUGAGCCUGCGUAGGAUUAGCUAGUUGGUGAGGUAAAGGCUUACCAAGGCGACGAUCAGUAGCUGGUCUGAGAGGAUGAUC
RNAcentral lists this ribosomal RNA (250 nucleotides) under uncultured bacterium. RNAcentral describes it as "partial 16S ribosomal RNA". It matches the Rfam family "Bacterial small subunit ribosomal RNA", at positions 57 to 305 of the family's 1533-position model. The record is from RNAcentral.